GACGAACGCUGGCGGCGUGCUUAACACAUGCAAGUCGAACGGAAAGGCCCUGCUUUUGUGGGGUGCUCGAGUGGCGAACGGGUGAGUAACACGUGAGUAACCUGCCCUUGACUUUGGGAUAACUUCAGGAAACUGGGGCUAAUACCGGAUAGGAGCUCCUGCUGCAUGGUGGGGGUUGGAAAGUUUCGGCGGUUGGGGAUGGACUCGGGGCUUAUCAGCUUGUUGGUGGGGUAGUGGCUUACCAAGGCUUUGACGGGUAGCCGGCCUGAGAGGGUGACCGGCCACAUUGGGACUGAGAUACGGCCAAGACUCCUACGGGGGGCAGCAGUGGGGAAUAUUGCAAAAUGGGCGGAAGCCUGAUGCAGCAACGCCGCGUGCGGGAUGACGGCCUUCGGGUUGUAAACCGCUUUCGCCUGUGACGAAGCGUGAGUGACGGUAAUGGGUAAAGAAGCACCGGCUAACUACGUG
Molecule: ribosomal RNA, 468 nt
Filed under: uncultured bacterium
Lineage: Bacteria
Description: partial 16S ribosomal RNA
Rfam family: Bacterial small subunit ribosomal RNA
Source: RNAcentral